AGCAGCCGCGGUAAUUCCAACUCCAAUAGCGUAUAUUAAAGUUGUUGCAGUUAAAAAGCUCGUAGUUGAACCUUGGGCCUGGCUGGCCGGUCCGCCUCACCGCGUGCACUGGAUCCGGCCGGGCCUUUCCUCCCGGGGAACCGCAUGCCCUUCACUGGGCGUGUCGAGGAACCAGGACGUUUACUUUGAAAAAAUUAGAGUGUUCAAAGCAGGCCUUCGCUCGGAUACAUUAGCAUGGAAUAAUAGAAUAGGACGCUGCGGUUCUACUUUGUUGGUUUCUAGAACCGCCGUAAUGAUUAAUAGGGACAGUCGGGGAGACUGGUAUUCAAUUGUCAGAGGUGAAAUUCUUGGAUUUAUUGAAGACCAACUACUGCGAAAGCAUUUCUCAAGGAUGUUUUCAUUAAUCAGUGAACGAAAGUUAGGGGAUCGAAGACGAUCAGAUACCGUCGUAGUCUUAACCAUAAACCGUG
RNAcentral lists this ribosomal RNA (470 nucleotides) under uncultured fungus. RNAcentral's name for it is "SSU rRNA". It matches the Rfam family "Eukaryotic small subunit ribosomal RNA", at positions 569 to 1041 of the family's 1831-position model. The record is from RNAcentral. Lineage: Eukaryota; Fungi.